Molecule: transfer RNA, 66 nt
Filed under: Delias hyparete (painted jezebel)
Lineage: Eukaryota; Metazoa; Arthropoda; Insecta; Lepidoptera; Pieridae
Description: tRNA-Arg
Source: RNAcentral
UAAAUAAGGAGUUUAUACUCUUUCUUUUAAGUCGAAAUUAAAUGCAGGUUGGAUUGCUUCUUAUUU